GUGCCAGCCGCCGCGGUAAUACGGAGGAUCCAAGCGUUAUCCGGAAUCAUUGGGUUUAAAGGGUCCGUAGGCGGGAGAUUAAGUCAGUGGUGAAAGUUUGUGGCUCAACCAUAAAAUUGCCAUUGAUACUGGUUUUCUUGAGUUAUUGUGAAGUGGUUAGAAUGAGUAGUGUAGCGGUGAAAUGCAUAGAUAUUACUCAGAAUACCGAUUGCGAAGGCAGAUCACUAACAAUGAACUGACGCUGAUGGACGAAAGCGUAGGUAGCGAACAGGAUUAGAAACCCCAGUAGUCC
Molecule: ribosomal RNA, 292 nt
Filed under: uncultured prokaryote
Description: partial 16S ribosomal RNA
Rfam family: Bacterial small subunit ribosomal RNA
Source: RNAcentral